GGCGUGGUGGCAGAGUGGUCUAAUGCGCAAGACUUGAAAUCUUGUUCCUUCGGGAGCGUCCGUUCGAACCGGGCCCACGUCG
RNAcentral lists this transfer RNA (82 nucleotides) under Cercophora newfieldiana. It matches the Rfam family "tRNA". From Rfam's summary of the family: Transfer RNA (tRNA) molecules are approximately 80 nucleotides in length. The record is from Rfam by way of RNAcentral. Lineage: Eukaryota; Fungi; Ascomycota; Sordariomycetes; Sordariales; Lasiosphaeriaceae.